Non-coding RNA from Pelobates cultripes (western spadefoot toad), 424 nucleotides. Lineage: Eukaryota; Metazoa; Chordata; Amphibia; Anura; Pelobatidae. The record is from the annotation of a GenBank genome assembly.
AUUCAAUAGUGUUUGGCCAGUAAGCACUAACUGUAUUCUAUGUCUCACCAACCCACUCUGUUUAAAACACAGUGCUGCAUUUAAUUUUACAUAACUGUUAAUCUUAUUAACUUCAAAGCUUUGUUCUUUGUGUGGUUUCUCCCACCUUCCUUUAACUCUUGGCAUAUCUCAUAGCCUGUGAGCCUUCUAGUGGUUGCAUGGUCACUCAUUUAUGUCUAAUUCUGCAGUGUGAACCUCUCCAAUACCUGAUGGAUCAAUACUCUGCAGCAAUGGGUCUCCCAACGAAAGCCAAGGUCUCCUUCAUUUUUGAAGGGAAGAAACUAACCGGAAAAAGUACCGUGGAAGAACUGGGCCUAGAGAGUGAGGAUAUCAUCGAGGUUUGGGCAUAGUUACAACCUCUGGUCUUCACUUAUGGUUGAAGAUG